Polypterus senegalus (gray bichir) is the source of this 269-nucleotide long non-coding RNA. RefSeq lists it as uncharacterized. Lineage: Eukaryota; Metazoa; Chordata; Cladistia; Polypteriformes; Polypteridae. The record is from RefSeq and is a predicted model, not a curated record. The transcript is spliced from 3 exons.
CUCGUCCUCAUCACCGCCUACAUCACUUUGUAAAGGGUUAUAAUGCGUUCCCUUAAAAUAACUAUGAUGCUUCGUCUGCGGCAGUAAGUUUACUCCUAAAAUAUCCAUCCCAUUAUCAAAGUAUACGAGAAAGUCGAGGGGAGACCACUCCUGAUUUUUUCAGUUUAUGAUUCAACAUUAUGCUUUCUACUGUAUUGCAUUUACAAGGCCUGGAAGCAGUCAGCCCGCAGAGGCACUGUACUUGCUGGAACUACGGAUUCCAAUUUCAC